GUACUUGCUUCAACAGCACAUAUACUAAAAUUGGAACAAUACAGAGAUUGUCAUGGCCCCUGUACAAGCAUGACAUGCAGGUUGGUGAAAUGUUCCAUAUUUCU
Camelus dromedarius (Arabian camel) is the source of this 104-nucleotide small nuclear RNA. NCBI's taxonomy places the organism in Eukaryota, Metazoa, Chordata, Mammalia, Artiodactyla, Camelidae. The record is from Ensembl.